AUUGAACGCUGGCGGCAGGCCUAACACAUGCAAGUCGAACGGUAACAGGAAGAAGCUUGCUUCUUUGCUGACGAGUGGCGGACGGGUGAGUAAUGUCUGGGAAACUGCCUGAUGGAGGGGGAUAACUACUGGAAACGGUAGCUAAUACCGCAUAACGUCGCAAGACCAAAGAGGGGGACCUUCUGGCCUCUUGCCAUCGGAUGUGCCCAGAUGGGAUUAGCUAGUAGGUGGGGUAACGGCUCACCUAGGCGACGAUCCCUAGCUGGUCUGAGAGGAUGACCAGCCACACUGGAACUGAGACACGGUCCAGACUCCUACGGGAGGCAGCAGUGGGGAAUAUUGCACAAUGGGCGCAAGCCUGAUGCAGCCAUGCCGCGUGUAUGAAGAAGGCCUUCGGGUUGUAAGGUACUUUCAGCGGGGAGGAAGGGAGUAAAGUUAAUACCUUUGCUCAUUGACGUUACCCGCAGAAGAAGCACCGGCUAACUCCGUGCCAGCAGCCGCGGUAA
This 506-nucleotide ribosomal RNA is filed under the name uncultured bacterium. RNAcentral's name for it is "partial 16S ribosomal RNA". It matches the Rfam family "Bacterial small subunit ribosomal RNA", at positions 30 to 523 of the family's 1533-position model. The record is from RNAcentral.